Molecule: transfer RNA, 76 nt
Filed under: mine drainage metagenome
Description: tRNA-Arg
Source: RNAcentral
GGGCUCGUGGGGUAGUUUGGACUAUCCUGAUGGCCUUCGGAGCCAUCGACCCGGGUUCGAAUCCCAGAGGCGCUCG